RNAcentral lists this ribosomal RNA (497 nucleotides) under uncultured bacterium. RNAcentral's name for it is "partial 16S ribosomal RNA". It matches the Rfam family "Bacterial small subunit ribosomal RNA", at positions 28 to 507 of the family's 1533-position model. The record is from RNAcentral.
GAUGAACGCUGGCGGCGUGCCUAAUACAUGCAAGUCGAGCGAACGGACGAGAAGCUUGCUUCUCUGAUGUUAGCGGCGGACGGGUGAGUAACACGUGGAUAACCUACCUAUAAGACUGGUAUAACUUCGGGAAACCGGAGCUAAUACCGGAUAAUAUUUUGAACCGCAUGGUUCAAAAGUGAAAGACGGUCUUGCUGUCACUUAUAGAUGGAUCCGCGCUGCAUUAGCUAGUUGGUAAGGUAACGGCUUACCAAGGCAACGAUGCAUAGCCGACCUGAGAGGGUGAUCGGCCACACUGGAACUGAGACACGGUCCAGACUCCUACGGGAGGCAGCAGUAGGGAAUCUUCCGCAAUGGGCGAAAGCCUGACGGAGCAACGCCGCGUGAGUGAUGAAGGUCUUCGGAUCGUAAAACUCUGUUAUUAGGGAAUAACAUAUGUGUAAGUAACUGUGCACAUCUUGACGGUACCUAAUCAGAAAGCCACGGCUAACUACGUG